CCUCGAACAGCCCUUUAUCCAGUCAACAUAGCGACUAACAAAGGCGUAAGGAUCUGGGCUGAAGGAGUGCUGCUCCCCGUCCUGGAUUAGGCCGGGAGGUGUGAGGACAUGAGGUUUCUCCUCAUCCUUUACACCUGCAGCCACACCUCUGCUGUCCUCUUACCUACUGACACACAGAUUGGUGAGCUGGGAUUAAGGAGCUGCUCUAAUGUAACAUCCCACCAAAACCUGGUUAUCCUAGAAGUUAAUUUGCAUCUUAUCAGUGGGGAACUAGAAGUGUUUGGAAAAGGAUGAAAGCAAAUCCAUAAUGAAACUCUUUUCCAGGUUUGGAAAAGAAACAUUGCUGGGGAGGAAUCCAAUGAAUUUAUUAAUGAGCUC
Long non-coding RNA from Haliaeetus leucocephalus (bald eagle), 378 nucleotides. RefSeq lists it as uncharacterized. The transcript has 5 exons. The record is from RefSeq and is a predicted model, not a curated record. NCBI's taxonomy places the organism in Eukaryota, Metazoa, Chordata, Aves, Accipitriformes, Accipitridae.